UAGGGAAUAUUGGUCAAUGGAUGCAAGUCUGAACCAGCCAUGCCGCGUGCAGGAAGAAGGCGUUAUGCGUUGUAAACUGCUUUUGCCAGGGGAUAAAAUAACUGUGCGCAGUUAAUUGAAGGUACCUGGUGAAUAAGCCACGGCUAACUACGUGCCUGCAGCCGCGGUAAUACGUAGGUGGCAAGCGUUGUCCGGAUUUAUUGGGUUUAAAGGGUGCGUAGGUGGCCCUGUAAGUCAGUGGUGAAAUAUCUCAGCUUAACUGAGAGGGUGCCAUUGAUACUGCAGGGCUUGAGUACGGAUGAGGUAGGCGGAAUUGACGGUGUAGCGGUGAAAUGCAUAGAUAUCGUCAAGAACACCGAUUAGCGAAGGCAGCUUACCAAGCUGUAACUGACACUGAGGCACGAAGUGUGGGGAUCAAAACA
RNAcentral lists this ribosomal RNA (422 nucleotides) under uncultured Ohtaekwangia sp. Its description in RNAcentral is "bacterial SSU rRNA". It matches the Rfam family "Bacterial small subunit ribosomal RNA", at positions 355 to 775 of the family's 1533-position model. The record is from RNAcentral. Lineage: Bacteria; Pseudomonadati; Bacteroidota; Cytophagia; Cytophagales; Fulvivirgaceae.